CUAGCUGGUCUGAGAGGAUGACCAGCCACACUGGAACUGAGACACGGUCCAGACUCCUACGGGAGGCAGCAGUGGGGAAUAUUGCACAAUGGGCGCAAGCCUGAUGCAGCCAUGCCGCGUGUAUGAAGAAGGCCUUCGGGUUGUAAAGUACUUUCAGCGGGGAGGAAGGUGUUGUGGUUAAUAACCGCAGCAAUUGACGUUACCCGCAGAAGAAGCACCGGCUAACUCCGUGCCAGCAGCCGCGGUAAUACGGAGGGUGCAAGCGUUAAUCGGAAUUACUGGGCGUAAAGCGCACGCAGGCGGUCUGUCAAGUCGGAUGUGAAAUCCCCGGGCUCAACCUGGGAACUGCAUUCGAAACUGGCAGGCUUGAGUCUUGUAGAGGGGGGUAGAAUUCCAGGUGUAGCGGUGAAAUGCGUAGAGAUCUGGAGGAAUACCGGUGGCGAAGGCGGCCCCCUGGACAAAGACUGACGCUCAGGUGCGAAAGCGUGGGGAGCAAACAGGAUU
This 504-nucleotide ribosomal RNA is filed under the name Salmonella enterica. Its description in RNAcentral is "bacterial SSU rRNA". It matches the Rfam family "Bacterial small subunit ribosomal RNA", at positions 283 to 779 of the family's 1533-position model. Lineage: Bacteria; Pseudomonadati; Pseudomonadota; Gammaproteobacteria; Enterobacterales; Enterobacteriaceae. The record is from RNAcentral.